Dermochelys coriacea (leatherback sea turtle) is the source of this 1552-nucleotide long non-coding RNA. RefSeq lists it as uncharacterized. The transcript has 5 exons. Lineage: Eukaryota; Metazoa; Chordata; Testudines; Dermochelyidae. The record is from RefSeq and is a predicted model, not a curated record.
UUAGGGCUAGCUUUCCCUCUGCCGUUUAUUCUCCCCUUGGCCCUUCUAUGGGGUCUCUGGGUGUGAAAUGAAUAGGAGCCUCCUUCCCAGCUGUCUUCCAGGCCCUGGGAUCUGGCACAGCCUCCCAGAUGGGCGCAUCCUGCAACUGAGCCACCUUGGAGCAGUGGGGACAGGUCACCUCGUCCCAUCAAAGCAAGCAAUGCUGGCUCCCAAAGAGGCUGAGAAUGAAGACCCCACUCCCUCCUGGAGCUCUGUGCCAACCUCUCACACAGAUGUAUCCUGCAGCCAGCCCAGCUCAGGGAGCAGUGGGGACAGUGAUUUCAUCCUGUCAAACCAAGCAAUAUGGGUCUCAUUGAGGCUUUGAUGGAAGAUCCCAUGCAUCUCCUGCAGAGGAUGUGUCCGGGAUCCUGGAGAGUGUUUCCUGCAGGAGGUUUGAGCGGGGAGAGAUCACUCACUGUCAUGACCCAUGGGUCCUCAGCCCAGGUCUGCAGGGUUCACGGGAGCAGCCAUACUCCAGCACUCCACCUGGAAGCCUGCUGACAACUAUUUACCUCCAGCCCCUCUUUGAGGCUUCAGCCCUGAAGCCUAUUGGUGGAGUCCCAGACCAGCUAAUUGAUCCCCGGGCCCUCCUUAAGCUGGCAGCACAGACAGGAAGCUGUCUGAAUACCCGAGCUCCUCCCUCUUCUGGACCGUGUGCUAUUUGUUCCUGCUCCCACUCCCCCGGCUUGAUUUCCUGGCAUCCAGACUCGGAGGACACCACCUUGUCUGACUAGGGCUCACCGUCCAUCCUAGAGCUGAACACCAGAUGGGAGCUGAUAGAUUGUCCUUGGUGGGCCAUGUCCUUGGUUGUGUGUGAUGGAGCUGUGUGCCAGAGAGGGCCAGGAGCAGAUGCACCACGCAUGGCUAGGAACGGGCUAAACAGCCUAUAAUGCUAGACUAACACGGCUGCUACUCUGAAAAAUGUCAACAUUGUUAACUAUUUCACUGCUCAUCACAGCAUGAAGAAGAGGAAGUAUUACAUUAUAAAGAUCUUCACACUAGUGUUUACCAAAAGGAGUGGUGGUGCAGAGUAUAAAGGAAUAGCUAGCAAAGGAAUGUGUUGAAGAUGUAUAAAUUAAUCUACAUAGGCCCUUAACACCAUAUGGUGGGGCUGAAAGAUGUGGUGAAUGGUUUCAUUCUCCUUGAGGUAGGCUCCUCUUUCAGAAAUUUGGAAAAGUUACCUGGACAAGAAAUGCACUCAUUUUGGCUGUUUAAGUGUUUGCCACAGCUGUGUGAAUAGAAACCGAACCCAGCUCUUGUGCUCUCUGGUAAGUCCAUUGGAAGAUAAAUGAAGGUUACUGUGACCCUAGGCACCCUAUAUUCACACACUAUUGCAGUACUAUUUGUACAAACUAUGCCUUGUGCAGUAUCACUGAAAGCUAUGUGUUAAUGUUAUAUUAAUAAGCAUUUAUAUGUGAAGUUCUUAAUUCCCUCAGUAUGAUGUUGCUAGAACUAGCCUGGCCUAGUUAAAGGUAAUAAACACAUCUGUCUGAGACAAAGGAAUGUAGAUUUA